This 1590-nucleotide ribosomal RNA is filed under the name Triticum aestivum (bread wheat). RNAcentral's name for it is "partial small subunit ribosomal RNA". The record is from RNAcentral. Lineage: Eukaryota; Viridiplantae; Streptophyta; Magnoliopsida; Poales; Poaceae.
AUGAGCGAUGUCACCGGCAGGUUCGUGCUGGCCGCGGCCGUCGCGGUGGCGUCGCUGGUGAUGGCGGCGGCGGCGCGGCACGACUACGGGGACGCGCUGUCCAAGAGCCUGCUCUACUUCGAGUCGCAGCGGUCGGGCCGGCUGCCGUACAACCAGCGAGUGCGGUGGCGCGGCCACUCGGGGCUCACCGACGGGCUGGAGCAAGGGGUGGACCUGGUGGGCGGGUACUACGACGCCGGCGACCACGUCAAGUUCGGCCUCCCCAUGGCCUUCACCGUCACCAUGCUCUCGUGGGCCGUCCUCGAAUAUGGCGACCAGAUCGCCGCCGCCGGCGAGGGCGCCCACGCGCUCCAGUCCAUCAAGUGGGGCACCGACUACUUCAUCAAGGCGCACACCGCGCCCAACGAGCUCUGGACCCAGGUCGGCGACGGCGACUCGGACCACUACUGCUGGCAGCGGCCGGAGGACAUGACGACGUCGCGGCGGGCGUACAAGGUGGACGCCGAGCACCCCGGCUCGGAGGUGGCCGCCGAGACGGCCGCCGCCAUGGCCGCCGCGUCCAUCGUGUUCCGGCGAGCCGGCGACGCGCACUACGCGCACCUCCUCCUCCACCACGCGCAGCAGCUGUUCGAGUUCGCGGACAAGUACCGGGGGCGGUACGACGCGAGCGUGCGGGUGGUGAAGAGCUACUACCCGUCGGCGAGCGGGUACAACGACGAGCUGCUGUGGGCGGCGCUGUGGCUGCACCGCGCCACCGGCGGCCGCGAGUACCUCGACUACGCCGUCGCCAACGCCGACGACUUCGGCGGCACCGGCUGGGGCGUCUCCGAGUUCAGCUGGGACAUCAAGUACCCCGGCCUCCAGGUCCUCGCCUCCAAGCUGCUGCUGGAGGAGAAGGACCUGAGCUCGGAGUACCGCGCGGUGCUGGAGAAGUUCCGGGCCAAGGCCGAGUUCUACGUGUGCUCCAACAUGAACAAGAACCCCGGCGGCGCCGCCCGCAACGCGCCCCGCACCCCGGCGGGGCUCAUCUUCAUCCGGCCCUGGAACAACCUCCAGUACGUGACCAACGCCGUAUUCCUCCUCACCGUCCACUCCGACCUGCUGGCCGCGCUCGGGGAGCCCCUCCGCUGCACCGUGGACGAGGACGCCGACACCUCGGACACGGGCGGCGAGACGGCGGCGGACGUCGUGGUCAGGGCCGAGGAGGUGCUGGCGUUCGCCAAGGCGCAGGCGGACUACAUCCUAGGCACGAACCCGAUGGAGACGAGCUACCUGGUCGGGUACAGCGACAAGUACCCGCGGCGGGUGCACCACCGGGCGGCGUCGACGGCGUCGUUCGCGGACGAGAAGGGGUUCAUCGGGUGCGCGCAGGGGUUCGACUCGUGGUACAGCGCCGGGGAGGAGAACCCGCACGACCUCGUCGGCGCCGUCGUCGGCGGGCCCGACGGCGAGGACCGGUUCAACGACCAGCGCGGCGCGUACAUGCAGACCGAGGCCUGCACGUACAACACCGCGCCCAUGGUCGGCGUCUUCUCCAGGCUCAUGGAGCUCGACGCGGAGGAGCGGCUGCGGGAGCAACGAGACCUGUGA